UGAGCCACCGCGCCCGGCCUGCACUGCAGUUCUUACCACACCUGACCACUCAGUAGCAUUUAGCUGUGUAAUCACUUCCCCUCCUUAACACACAGUCUCUCUGGGUGUCUAUGUGUCAUGAUCCUUUGGUUUUCCUCCUGGCUUUCUGGCUCCUUCUUAGUCUCCUUUUCCAGUUCCUCCUCCUAUAUGCCUGUUCUUCAGAUGCCUUAAUGUUGCGCCUUCGACUCUCCUCUAGCUCUCUGCACUCUCCUGGAACUCCUGGAUGACUCUCACAACUUCAAUUAACAUCUACAAGCAGAUAACUGAUUUCUAGCUCCAAGAUGCAUUUCUCUCUCAACCUCAGACCAGCACAUCCAGCUGGUGGGCAGCUCCUCCAUAUUCUUCGAAUUUGCCACGCUCCAAGUUAACUCAUCACCUUUCCUCAUGAACCUGGUCCUCCCCUUCAGUGGUCCCGUUGCCAUUACGACCUACCUACCCACUCUCUCCAGGCAGGACUUGGGGAUGAUGUUUAAUGGAUUCUUCACCUUUCCAUCUUCACCCCUCAACUAUUCGGCCUUUCCUAAAGUUUUUGAAACCUCCCCUUUCUCUUACAACCUGUUGCUACUUUCUAGUUGAGGCUGCCGUCGCUUUUCACCAUCAUGAUUAUUAUACAUCUCUCAACUGGAAUCUCUGCCUCCACUCUCGGCCCCUCCCUCCAACCACUCUCUACCCUGCAGCCACAGAAAUUCUUUCAAAAUACAACUGAUCAUUUCCCUCCCAUCUUUAAAACCUUCCCUUUGCUUUAAAGUCCAAAUUUGUUAACUUGAUUUAUAAGACCCUGCAUGACCUAGCAGCCCCUGCUACUCCCUGCAGCCUCAUCUCUGAACACCUGCCUCGCACUUGCCUCCAAUGCACUUUAUGCUUUGGCAACGUUAUCUUGGAACCCACCUGUGUUCUCUCAGAAUGCUGCUAAAUACAGCAAUUACUCAGCAAUAUGUAAAGACAGCCUUGAAACCUGGACCCUACCAAACUCCACGAUGAAGGAGCUAGUGGCACAGAACUUCUAGAACUGACUCCCCCUCCGGUUACCCUAGUAAUUUUUGUUGAUCAUUUAUAUCACCCUUUAUGACAAGGACAUCUGAGGUGAACAUCCAUAGUAUCAUACAAAUUUCUCAGCUGCCUCCUCCAAAACUGGCAUCAGCAGAAGAGCAAAGUGAGAGAAAUGAGGCAUGACAGAUAACUUGUAAGUUCUCGAAGUUUACAAUGGUAAAGCCAGGCCGGGUGCAGUGGCAUGCACCUGUAAUCACAGCAACUCAUGAGAUUAAAGCAGGAGGACCUCUUGAGCCCAGGAGUUUGAGGUUUCAGUGAGCUAUGAUCAUGCCACUGCACUCCAACCUGGGCAACAGAGCAAAACCCUGUCAAUCAAUCAAGCAAGCAGACAAGCAAGGAAGCAAGCAGCAGAGCCUCUGCAUGAGCUCAUGAAUGGCUGCUGUGGAAAAUUACUGACGUCACCAGCUGAAUAACAGGCUAUCUGGAGAGUAAGCAGAUGAAACUGAUGUUAAAUUAUCAAAUGUACAAGAUUUUGGGCUCCUGCCAAAACCUUCAUUGAGAACUAAGAAGAGAAAAACUGAAAACACACAGAGCUUUUUUUAAGCUUCUGAGCCAGCAGGCUGUUCCUACAUCCACUCCAGGCAUAGAAAGAUGGCUGUAAAAUAAAAGAGAUGAUUAUCUC
RNAcentral lists this long non-coding RNA (1711 nucleotides) under Homo sapiens (human). Its description in RNAcentral is "HSALNT0406124". The record is from RNAcentral. Lineage: Eukaryota; Metazoa; Chordata; Mammalia; Primates; Hominidae.